CUCUUGCAGUCUUGCUCCUUCCCACUUGACGAACACACCAGAUCUGAGCUUCUCCCCCUAUAAAUUGACAUUAUCAACGUCCUUUUGUUUUCAACUCGGCUAUCACUUCCCCAUCUCCAUUUUCUCCGACCUCUUGUUUCCUGUCGCCAAAGAACCCUUCUCCUGCUCUGUGCAAGUUCUGUUGUGAAGUGUGAAGGAUAUGGCCGGCUAUCGACCUCCUUUGCAGAUAGAGUAUACUCGCUCCUUUCGUUGGGUUGUGCUUCACUGCUUCGCGUAUUCCGUAAAGUAUUACAUGAUUUAUGUGUCGUGGAUUUUGAAUACAGUUCCAGCUUGAGUGAGGCUCGCAGUGCGCUAAAUCGCGUUUUGUUACAUGAGGUCCCCUGUUCUGAGUACAUGAGGUUCCCUGAAAAACAUAUCUACGUCUGUGUCGACAAACAGCCGUUGUUUGCGCAUGUGGCCGAAGUGAUGCGGGUGCUUGCGACCCCUCACAACAUGUUAACUGCGGCAGCCAUUAAAGACUAUUUUUCUGCGAUAGCUCGCAUGCGUGAGGUGAUGCAUUGCCAAGUGGACGGUGAUCGUGUAGUCUUCUCAAGAGAAACUUUUGAGCGUGAGUUUGAGUUGAAAUGGGGGGAUUGAUUAUAGAUGUCUAGUGUUGUUGGCGAUGGUCUACUAUGUUGUUAUCUUAUCUUUAACAAGUUUACCCUUACUUCUUUUAUGUUGCGUAUUCAUAGCCAUCUAUGUCUUUCCUUU
Non-coding RNA from Corylus avellana, 750 nucleotides. Lineage: Eukaryota; Viridiplantae; Streptophyta; Magnoliopsida; Fagales; Betulaceae. The record is from RefSeq and is a predicted model, not a curated record.